UCCGUUUUCCAUUUGACAAUUCUUCUGUUGCCUAUUCCCAUUCGUGGGUCGUGAACGCUUCAGCCUGUCGUAAUCUUGUCUUAUAUCAUUCUUGUUCCUCUCCCAGACGCCUUUCACACAGGCAAUUCUUGUUGCGGCAAUUCUUAGUUUUAUAAGAGAGGGGCGACGAGGAGAGGAGAAUCGCGCCGAGUCCGCUGUGUUCGGGCAACACGCUUUGUGUUCUUAUUCGUAACAGUUCGCUGCUACGUAACAGUGUUGCAUUUGCGCACAUUUUAAAAUUAAUGUAUACAUUAUAUUUGAAAAUUUGAAUUUAAUCAUUUAAUUUUGUAUGUAAUUUCCAAAUACAUAUAGAAAUAUGCAUAAUAUAAUUAAAACUGUUAGAAAAUGGAGAAUAACGAUAAAAAUUAGUUAAUGAAAUAUACUUUUUGUUUGGAAACGAUGCGUACAUGAAGUUGAGAAAAUUAUAUGAAAGAGAAUGAAAAAAAGACAAGAACAGAGUCGUUGAACAAGAAUUGCAAAAGGGAAUCGCCCGAGAAUUAGCAACAGGAGUUGCCUGUGUGAAAGUGGUCCUGCAAAUCAGUAGUUGCCCAGACAACAGUAUUCGCGUUUGAACGCGGUCUUUCGAAUUGUUGUAUUUGAAAUGUUGUUGCAGGCUGUGACAAUGUUUGCUUCGGUCUUUGCAUUUUAACUUUUAUUUCGCAUAAAUAAGUAUAUAAAAUGGAUCACUCCUCGUCAAUAGGUUAGAUGCACCCGUUCUUACAAUAGUAUUCGGCUAUGAACUUUUAUUUUGGAUUCAAUUAAAUAUAAGCUAAUCUGCAAAAGUGUUGGUUAUUCAAUGAUAUUUCAGGGAUAAUGUUCAAAUGUAUACAAAUUUAACAAAAUUGUAUUUUUUUAUUUAGAGCAGUUUACAAUAAGGGCAUCUUUUCUUGGUCUUUAGCAUAGGCGCACUUAAAGUAAUUUAUUUUUGAAAGAAAAAUAGCUAAUUUUUAAAUUUUAAGUGAGUGUUAAUAUUAGACGUAUUUAGGUUAAAUUGAAAAUUGUAAAUUGUACUGUUUCCUAAUUUGCAAUAAAUUCAUGCAUACAUAUGUAUGCGUUGAAUGAUGGAUGAAGUCUAUGUAGUUUAGCGAAAUUUAUCUCCAUGUGUAAUUUUGCUGCAAUUAAAGGGAUUCUAUAUAUUCGUAUUGAUUUCCUUCUUAAUCUUUGCAUGCAAGCUAACGCAAACGUUUUUAAUUGCGGUAUGUCCGAAGAAUAUGGUGACCAACCCCUAUAAAACGUGAAGCCAUCCCGUACAAUUACCCACUUACGAUGGCGUCUUAAGCACAUUUCUUCUUUGUGUAAAUCAUGAAAAUAGUAUUGAAAGCCAUGGUGUGCCUAUAAAUUAAAACGUUUUUCAUCAGUAAACAUAAUCAUUUAAUACUCCAAGAAAUGUACCCUUCCGCAAAUUGAAACAGUUGGCUUUCAGAGGUUGAUUUUUCAUAUUUUUUAGACGCUUAAGAAGUUUUACUUUUCUGAUUGUACGCGGGACGGUUGAAAGGCUUUCCUGACCUUAGAAGCCGACUAGGUAGAGUUGGAAUUUUAUGAUCAGUACGAUCGGGACUGUUUUUCGCCCUUUAUUGUUUUUUUUUCAUUUUCUUCUGGAUCUUUUCAUAUAUAUCAACAGAUAUGGAUCAAUGCUUUAUUUGUAACAUGAUGAGACCAUCCAAUUUUUGCUGUAACAAGGUACAAAUGAUGUAAUAAGUACAAACAAUAUUUGCUUUGACUGUAUUGUUCUUUAUUUGCAUUCUAUUUUAUGCCAGUUAGGUUAAUCAUUGCCGUUUAGUAUUUGUAAAUUAAACAGAUCGAUUUUUAGUUUUUAGCAUACACACAUCAUUUAAGUUCAGAUGCAUGUUCAAAGUUUAUAAUUGCUUAAAUUAAAAGAAUUUUGAAUCAUGUGAAUAAAUCUGAACUUGUUUUAACUCAUGUAUAAUUUUUACAUCAUGCCAUAUUUCUGACUUUAACAAGCCUUUGGUAACCUUAUUAUUUUAUUUGUUCCAACAAAGACCCUUUGAAGAAAUUUAAGUAGCCGGUCUUCUAAUGGCAUAUUUAAUGAACUGUUUCUUUAUGUUUAAGGAUGCUGCGUCACAUGCACAUUUGUUGAUAAUGUUUGAUAUUGUAAUACCUGUCAAUUUUCACGUUUGUGUGGUGGGACAUACAUUUGCCUUU
Molecule: long non-coding RNA, 2202 nt
Organism: Zeugodacus cucurbitae (melon fly)
Lineage: Eukaryota; Metazoa; Arthropoda; Insecta; Diptera; Tephritidae
Exons: 2
Source: RefSeq, a predicted model, not a curated record